GAAGGUGUAUCUAGAAAGACAAAUUAGAGCUUGAAAAGUAAAGCAUUUCAUUUACAUUGAAAAGUAUAUUGUGUAAUUCAAUUUAAUUUGAUAAUAAAAAUUUAUUAGUUUUUUUUGUUUAGAAAUUUAUUUAAUAAAAUUAAUUUUAAGUUAAUUUUUUUUUGUAUAAUAUAUAGAUCAAAUAAUUUAUAUAAUAGUUAAUUAGUAUUGUAAAAGAAUAUUGAAAUAUAUGAAAAAGUUUUAAAUUAAAAGUAAAUUUUAUAUAUUGUACCUUGUGUAUCAGGGUUUAUUAAUUAAAAGUUAAAAAUAUUUAAUUUUUCUCGAAUUUAAGAGGGUUAAUUUAUUAUUUAAUUUUUUGUUUCAUAAAAAUUUAAAAUAAUAAAUUAGAAAUGAAAUGUUAUUCGUUCUUAAAUAUAUCUAGUUUUUUAAGAAAUAAAUUAAAUUUAGAUUAUUGAUAAAUAAUUGUUUAUUUAAAUAAUAAAUUAUUAUUAAUAAUUAAUAUUUUAAGGGAUAAGCUUUAAAGUAAGUUUUAUAAUAAUUUUUUAAUUUAAAAAUUAUAGGUUUAGAAAUAGUCAUUAAUUAUAAAAGUGUUAUAAUUUAUUUUAAAUUAAAAAUAAUUUUUAUUAAUUUAAGUUUUUAUUAAAAUAAUUUUUAAAAUUAUAUAAAAAUUAAAAUAAUGAUAAAAUUAGUAUAUUUUAAUUGUUAAAAAAAAAUAAAUUGAAAGGUUAAAUUAAGGAACUUGGCAAAUAAAUACUCGCCUGUUUAACAAAAACAUGUCUUUUUGAUUAUAAUUUAAAGUCUAAUCUGCCCACUGAAAAAUUUUAAAGGGCCGCGGUAUU
Molecule: ribosomal RNA, 839 nt
Filed under: Panorpodes paradoxus
Lineage: Eukaryota; Metazoa; Arthropoda; Insecta; Mecoptera; Panorpodidae
Description: partial 16S rRNA
Source: RNAcentral